RNAcentral lists this long non-coding RNA (489 nucleotides) under Gallus gallus (chicken). Its description in RNAcentral is "long non-coding RNA NONGGAT001261". Lineage: Eukaryota; Metazoa; Chordata; Aves; Galliformes; Phasianidae. The record is from RNAcentral.
AGCAUCAUCUGGCUUUAGAGUCAGGGAUUGCUGGCUGCUGGCACGCAGAUCUGGACCAUUACAUGGAGCAGGCACAAGCUGUAUGAAAGCAGAAAGGAUCGCACUGUCGGCAUCAGCAAUAGCUCAUGCUACGCCUGCAGAGACCCCAAAACAGAAGUGCAGCCCACUCUCACAUUUCCUGAUGAAAGCUGCUAUCAGAGCCCAGCCAAAUGCCCAAAAAAGCAGGAGAGCUCAACUGGCCAUGGAAAAAAUCAAGUGCAACAGGACUUUGUGCCUAAAUCUGAAGGCAUAAGAUGAUGCUUGGAAAACAAAUUACCUGAGCUUUCAUUGGGUUCUUAAUUCAGCUAGUUGUCCUCUCUGUUUGUCUCCUACUGCCUAAGAAGAGAUCUGUAUGACCGGGGCAUGAGUUCUACUGAACGCUCAUGAGAGACUGGAGAGUUCCUGGGGUCUACUGGGAUAAGAGGGAAGGGCUGGUGGCACCAGGGUGGG